RNAcentral lists this unclassified non-coding RNA (413 nucleotides) under Hevea brasiliensis (rubber tree). The record is from RNAcentral. Lineage: Eukaryota; Viridiplantae; Streptophyta; Magnoliopsida; Malpighiales; Euphorbiaceae.
GCAGGAACUUGCAGGAUUUUGAUAGGGCAGCGAUGUCUAGGUCACUGGAUGAGACUCAACAGAGCUGGCUGUUGGGUCCGACUGAGCAGAAGAAGAAGAAGUAUGUGGAUCUUGGUUGUAUUAUUGUGAGUAGGAAGAUUUUUAAGUGGACUGUGGGGUGUAUUAUUGCGGCUGCGCUUCUAGCUGGAUUCAUUACUAUGAUUGUUAAGCUUGUACCUAGACACAAACAUCACAAUCCUCCACCGGAUAAUUAUACUCUGGCUCUCCGUAAAGCUCUUAUGUUCUUCAAUGCCCAGAAAUCUGGAAAAUUGCCCAAGCAUAAUAACGUGUCAUGGAGGGGGAAUUCAUGUUUGCAAGAUGGCAAGUCAGAUGAUUCAACUAUGUUCAAAAAUUUGGUUGGGGGUUAUUAUGAU